GUCGAACGAUGAACCUCACUUGUGGGGGGAUUAGUGGCGAACGGGUGAGUAACACGUGAGUAACCUGCCCUUGACUCUGGGAUAAGCCUGGGAAACCGGGUCUAAUACUGGAUACGACCUUCUGGCGCAUGCCAUGUUGGUGGAAAGCUUUUGUGGUUUUGGAUGGACUCGCGGCCUAUCAGCUUGUUGGUGGGGUAAUGGCCUACCAAGGCGACGACGGGUAGCCGGCCUGAGAGGGUGACCGGCCACACUGGGACUGAGACACGGCCCAGACUCCUACGGGAGGCAGCAGUGGGGAAUAUUGCACAAUGGGCGCAAGCCUGAUGCAGCGACGCCGCGUGAGGGAUGAAGGCCUUCGGGUUGUAAACCUCUUUCAGUAGGGAAGAAGCCGAUCUUUUGGGUUGGUGACGGUACCUGCAGAAGAAGCGCCGGCUAACUACGUGCCAGCAGCCGCGGUAAUACGUAGGGCGCAAGCGUUAUCCGGAAUUAUUGGGCGUAAAGAGCUCGUAGGCGGUUUGUCGCGUCUGCCGUGAAAGUCCGGGGCUUAACCCCGGAUCUGCGGUGGGUACGGGCAGACUAGAGUGCAGUAGGGGAGACU
Molecule: ribosomal RNA, 598 nt
Filed under: Arthrobacter sp.
Lineage: Bacteria; Bacillati; Actinomycetota; Actinomycetes; Micrococcales; Micrococcaceae
Description: bacterial SSU rRNA
Rfam family: Bacterial small subunit ribosomal RNA
Source: RNAcentral